CACACUGCCCGUCAAGCCAUGGGAGUUGAUUUUACUCGAAAUUAGUGAGCUAACCUUCGGGAGGCAGCUACCUACAGUGAAGUCGAUGACUGGGGUU
This 97-nucleotide ribosomal RNA is filed under the name uncultured bacterium. RNAcentral describes it as "partial 16S ribosomal RNA". It matches the Rfam family "Bacterial small subunit ribosomal RNA", at positions 1386 to 1482 of the family's 1533-position model. The record is from RNAcentral.